Molecule: long non-coding RNA, 807 nt
Filed under: Chinchilla lanigera (long-tailed chinchilla)
Lineage: Eukaryota; Metazoa; Chordata; Mammalia; Rodentia; Chinchillidae
Description: lncRNA (ENSCLAG00000026762.1)
Source: RNAcentral
AAGAGUUCCAAUAGACUUCUAAGCCCGAUGGAUGAGAAAGACUGAAGUAGGGCGGCCAUGUGUGGUUGUGCUCUGCAUAAUUAGGAUGAGUGGAGGCUUAAUCUCUCCUGCACUUUGCUUGCCAAACCAUUUUCCCUUGAGCUUCUGUAUCUGCCUGUAAGGGACACCUUUACCCUGUUCACACAGAGGCAGAAGCAGGUUUUGCCCAACCUGCCUCAUUUGAGCAUGAGAACCCAGAAUUUUCAAAGAGGCUCAGGAUGCAAAAGAAGCCUAGAAAGGGGAGAGGUUGAUCCAAGACAUGGGUUUGGCCUUAUGACUCUGGUUUUGACUCUCAAAAUGGCUUCAGGCAGGAGCUAUAAGGAUCUUAUAUAGAACAGAGCCUCUGAAAACUUACCACCCUCACCCAAGUCCCCGGCACUGGUUCUCCCGUAGGGCCAGAGUGAGGUGUUUUCUCGCUUUCAAGCUCUUAAUUUGGCAACAUCACAUAUGCUUGAGGUCAUCUGGCCAUUUUUAUCUGCACCUUUGGAAAAUAUAUGUUGGAUGGCUUCAGCAAGCUUAGCAGAUGAAGGAAGGAAGGAAGAAAGGAAGGAAGAAAGGAAGGCAAGGAGGACCGGCCCCAGCUGCUGCGCUCUGAUGGAUUCCUCUUAACCAAAGAUUGGGAUUUGCAAGACAUGGGUGAUUAAGAUCUAGUGUAAGACACACAAAAUGUGGGUCUCAUUUGAUUGGCGAGCUUGGCAUGGAAACUCCUGAUAUUCUUUCCAAACCUUCCUUUGAGCUUCUCUGCAAUCUAAACUGCUUAGAUCCAAC